GGGGUUGGGGAUUUAGCUCAGUGGUAGAGCGCUUGCCUAGCAAGCGCAAGGCCCUGGGUUCGGUCCUCAGCUCUGGAAAAAAAAAAAAAAAAAAAAAGACAAAAUAACAAAAAGACCAAAAAAAAACAAGGUAACUGGCACACACAACCUUU
Molecule: non-coding RNA, 152 nt
Filed under: Mus musculus (house mouse)
Lineage: Eukaryota; Metazoa; Chordata; Mammalia; Rodentia; Muridae
Source: RNAcentral